Long non-coding RNA from Humulus lupulus (European hop), 283 nucleotides. RefSeq lists it as uncharacterized. NCBI's taxonomy places the organism in Eukaryota, Viridiplantae, Streptophyta, Magnoliopsida, Rosales, Cannabaceae. The transcript has 2 exons. The record is from RefSeq and is a predicted model, not a curated record.
UUUCAUCAUGGGGAAGAUCCAGUCCAAAGCAGCACGACAAACACAAGUUUUGAAUAUUAUGUGACAAGCGAAGUAGAAAAUGAUACUUAAUUUUGAAGGCUUUGUGUUGGGCAGAUGUAGAAUAUUUUGUGUUGAAAGUAGUAACUUUUCACUAUGUUGAAUAUUUAAGACUCCUUGAUUACUUAAAGAACAUUUUGUUGUUGAUGACAGUGUUGAAUAUUUUAAACUAAUUUGUGGAUUGUUAAUACAAUGUUGAAUGUUUUUACUUUUUGUUAUUUGAAAA